UGGGCUGUAGCUCAGUGGUAGAGCGCUUGCCUUGCAUGCAUGAGGUACUGGGUUCAAUCUUCAGCACCACAU
Molecule: transfer RNA, 72 nt
Filed under: Marmota marmota marmota (Alpine marmot)
Lineage: Eukaryota; Metazoa; Chordata; Mammalia; Rodentia; Sciuridae
Also listed under: 1 other name
Rfam family: tRNA
About the family: Transfer RNA (tRNA) molecules are approximately 80 nucleotides in length.
Source: Rfam by way of RNAcentral